RNAcentral lists this ribosomal RNA (306 nucleotides) under uncultured bacterium. Its description in RNAcentral is "partial 16S ribosomal RNA". It matches the Rfam family "Bacterial small subunit ribosomal RNA", at positions 505 to 808 of the family's 1533-position model. The record is from RNAcentral.
GACAGCAGCAGCCGCGGUAAUACAGAGGGUGCGAGCGUUAAUCGGAUUUACUGGGCGUAAAGCGUGCGUAGGCGGCUUCUUAAGUCGGAUGUGAAAUCCCUGAGCUUAACUUAGGAAUUGCAUUCGAUACUGGGAAGCUAGAGUAUGGGAGAGGAUGGUAGAAUUCCAGGUGUAGCGGUGAAAUGCGUAGAGAUCUGGAGGAAUACCGAUGGCGAAGGCAGCCAUCUGGCCUAAUACUGACGCUGAGGUACGAAAGCAUGGGGAGCAAACAGGAUUAGAUCCCCGGUAGUCCCUGUCUCUUAUACA